CCCUUAGAUGUCCUGGGCCGCACGCGCGUUACACUGAUGCAUUCAACGAGCUUAUAACCUUGGCCGAGAGGCCUGGGCAAUCUUGUUAACGUGCAUCGUGAUAGGGAUAGAUUAUUGAAAUUAUUAAUCUUGAACGAGGAAUUCCUAGUAAACGCAGAUCAUCAAUCUGCAUUGAUUACGUCCCUGCCCUUUGUACACACCGCCCGUCGCACCUACCGAUUGGAUGGUCCGGUGAACUGGUCGGACUGAUAAUUGUCACUGCGGGUGCAGUAGCAUUACGGAAAGUCCGGUGAACCUUAUCAUCUAGAGGAAGGAGAAGUCGUAACA
RNAcentral lists this ribosomal RNA (327 nucleotides) under uncultured eukaryote. RNAcentral describes it as "partial 18S ribosomal RNA". It matches the Rfam family "Eukaryotic small subunit ribosomal RNA", at positions 1470 to 1796 of the family's 1831-position model. The record is from RNAcentral.